RNAcentral lists this transfer RNA (76 nucleotides) under gamma proteobacterium IMCC2047. RNAcentral's name for it is "tRNA-Val". It matches the Rfam family "tRNA". Rfam says of the family: Transfer RNA (tRNA) molecules are approximately 80 nucleotides in length. The record is from RNAcentral. Lineage: Bacteria; Pseudomonadati; Pseudomonadota; Gammaproteobacteria. RNAcentral also lists the same sequence under 2 other names.
UCCCCGAUAGCUCAGUUGGUAGAGCAGCGGACUGUUAAUCCGCCUGUCGCUGGUUCGAGUCCAGCUCGGGGAGCCA